GGGGGUGUACUGGUUUCGACGGGGAUGUUGAAGCGUGAUAAGCGGGUCAGGCCGGGCAAUCCUGUAAAAGGCCCAACCUUAAAAAAUUAAACGACAACAAUACUGUUGCAAUGGCAGCCUAAGGGCUGUGCCGCGGCGUGAUACACGCCGCCCGUUCCGCCGGGGAGAGCCACGGCCCCGGAUGGAGCGUCAUGUAGUGGCGUCCGUGCAUCGGUGUUUCGCCAUUGAACCGGUCAUGAACAAAAUGGCUGCCGCCGGAUGAGCCUGUCCCCGGGCGCAUACGGCGGGAGAUCAAAUCAGGGACUACACCCGUAGAAAGUUGCGUGGAUAUGUUUUCGGACAGGGGUUCGACUCCCCUCACCUCCACCA
RNAcentral lists this transfer-messenger RNA (369 nucleotides) under pig gut metagenome. It matches the Rfam family "transfer-messenger RNA". Rfam says of the family: Bacterial tmRNA, also known as 10Sa RNA or SsrA, is named for its dual tRNA and mRNA-like properties. Its role is to liberate the mRNA from a stalled ribosome. The record is from RNAcentral.